AUGAUUCAGACUAGCCAUGCACGUCUAGUACAAACUAAAUGAUGGUGAAACUGCAAAUGGCUCAUUACAACGGUUAUGAUGUACCCGGGAGUUCCGAUGGAUAUUUCCAGUAACACUAGAACUAAUACAUGUCCCUGCGUUUAUUAGUUUCGCACAGUCCGUCGCUGAGUCAUGGUAAACAGUUGAUCGACUCGACGUCCCGGAACAGUUUCCGCCCCAUCAGCUUCGAUGGUUGGGUAUUGGCCUACCAUUGCAACAACGGGUAACGAGGAAUUAGGGUUUGAUUUCGGAGAGGGAGCCUGAGAAACGGCUACCACAUCUACGGAUGGCAGCAGGCGCGCAAAUUACCCAAUGCAGACACUGUGAGGUAGUGACGAGAAAUAAUAAAGCGGGACUUCUGUUUCGCUAUUAUAAUGAGGAAUAACCAAAGGUCAUUCCGAUUAGCAACUGAUGGGAAAGUCUGGUGCCAGCAGCCGCGGUAAUACCAGCGUCAGUAGCAU
Molecule: ribosomal RNA, 500 nt
Filed under: uncultured Myrionecta
Lineage: Eukaryota; Ciliophora; Litostomatea; Cyclotrichida; Mesodiniidae
Description: SSU rRNA
Rfam family: Eukaryotic small subunit ribosomal RNA
Source: RNAcentral